AACCAUAGAAACCUGCGGAGUACCUGCGGAAGGAUCAUUACCUUUAUUCAGUACGGGCGCCUGCAGUUCGCUGCAGCGCCUUGUCUGUUAUCCCCUGUUUUUUGCGUACUUGAACGUUUCCUCGGCGGCUCACCCCGCCGAACGGACAACUAUAUAAACCUUUUUUUUGCAAUUGCAAUCAGCGUCUGAAUAAAUAUACAAUAUUUACAACUUUCAACAACGGAUCUCAGAUCGGAAGAG
This 240-nucleotide unclassified non-coding RNA is filed under the name soil metagenome. RNAcentral's name for it is "partial contains 5.8S ribosomal RNA, internal transcribed spacer 2, and large subunit ribosomal RNA". The record is from RNAcentral.